Molecule: ribosomal RNA, 231 nt
Filed under: uncultured bacterium
Lineage: Bacteria
Description: partial 16S ribosomal RNA
Rfam family: Bacterial small subunit ribosomal RNA
Source: RNAcentral
CGGGUGAGUAACGCGUGGGUAACCUGCCUCAUACAGGGGGAUAACAGUUAGAAAUGACUGCUAAUACCGCAUAAGCACACAGUACCGCAUGGUACAGUGUGAAAAACUCCGGUGGUAUGAGAUGGACCUGCGUCUGAUUAGCUAGUUGGCGGGGUAACGGCCCACCAGGGCGACGAUCAGUAGCCGACCUGAGAGGGUGACCGGCCACAUUGGGACUGAGACACGGCCCAA